GGAGUUUGUAUAGGGACCAUGUGUUUUUUCAAGAGGGCUUAAUUUUCUUCAUCCACGGCGUAUUUUCAAUUCGGGGUGAUUGAGGACCUUCGUGAAUGGAGUUUGGGCACUGGUUUUGCUUAUUCGCCAACAAAUCGAAGUUAAUGAACUCAAUACGCAAAGAGAGUCGCCUUUUCCUUAAAUGGGACAUGAAGCUAGCGGCUGGGGUCAUAAAGUAGCAUGGGUUUUGACUUUGUGGCCAUUUUGUCAGCCUGAACGAAUGGGAUGUCUCAGAUCUGAAAUAGACUAACAAAGACCAAUGCCAUUUGCGUUUAUCUUCAGUUUUGUCAGGUCAGAACUAUAUUUUACAUUAUUAAAUAAAUCUUUUAAUCAAGAACCUGAAAAGAGAUGGAAAAAUUGUUUUCCUUUUAAAAAUAAUAAUUAUUGGUGGGGCUGGGAAGAAUAAUCACUGUUUUGCUUUUAGUUUCACUUUCUCAUUCCUUUUUCUGCAAAAGAGCUAUCUGUCAUUCACAAUGGCUCCUCCUUAGGAAUUGUUUUCAAGCAAUCCUGCAUGUCAGAGAAGCCAAUCAUAUAUAUAUAUAUGCAAUCCAUGACUGUAUAAACUUUUCUUCCCAUGAAUGGCUUUGCAGAAAUCAAUAGUUAAUGAUUAGGUUGGCUUAUGUUCUGAUUAAGAUUAUUAUUACCAUUGUAGUAAAGAUGAGUAUACUUAGCCUAGAAAUGAAUAUAUGUUUGUUAAAUCUUUUCAUUGU
Long non-coding RNA from Impatiens glandulifera, 749 nucleotides. RefSeq lists it as uncharacterized. NCBI's taxonomy places the organism in Eukaryota, Viridiplantae, Streptophyta, Magnoliopsida, Ericales, Balsaminaceae. The transcript has 3 exons. The record is from RefSeq and is a predicted model, not a curated record.